UACGUAGGCAGCAAGCGUUGUUCGGAGUUACUGGGCGUAAAGGGUGCGUAGGCGGCCUUAUAAGUAUGGUGUGAAAUCUCCCGGCUUAACUGGGAGGGUGCGCUAUAGACUGUGGGGCUAGAGUGUGGGAGAGGAAAGUGGAAUUCCUGGUGUAGCGGUGAAAUGCGUAGAUAUCAGGGGGAACACCGGUGGUGUAAACGGCUUUCUGGACCAUAACUGACGCUGAGGCACGAAAGCGUGGGUAGCAAACAGG
This 253-nucleotide ribosomal RNA is filed under the name uncultured bacterium. RNAcentral describes it as "partial 16S ribosomal RNA". It matches the Rfam family "Bacterial small subunit ribosomal RNA", at positions 524 to 776 of the family's 1533-position model. The record is from RNAcentral.